This 5158-nucleotide long non-coding RNA is filed under the name Sus scrofa (pig). RNAcentral describes it as "lncRNA (ENSSSCG00015036172.1)". Lineage: Eukaryota; Metazoa; Chordata; Mammalia; Artiodactyla; Suidae. The record is from RNAcentral.
UUUUUUUUUUUUUUUUUGUCUUUCUUUGCUAUUUCUUGGGCCGCUCCCACGGCAUAUGGAGGUUCCCAGGCUAGGGGUUGAAUCGGAGCUGCAGCCACCGGCCUACGCCAGAGCCACAGCAACGCUGGAUCCAAGCCGUGUCUGCAACCUACACCACAGCUCACGGCAACGCCGGAUCAUUAACCCACUGAGCAAGGGCAGGGACCGAACCCGCAACCUCAUGGUUUCUAGUCGGAUUCAUUAACCACUGCGCCACGAUGGGAACUCCACAUAUUUUUUAAGUAUAUGAUCAUGGGUAUCUGAUUGCUGUGGUAUUUGGAUUCCCCUGGAUCUAUUUUAAAAAGUGAUGUAACAGUUUUAUUCCCAAAUGUCCACUUUUGCAGUAUACUAGAUAUUAUAUCUUUUGCAACAACUUCAACUUAUGUUGCAAAACUGGAGCUGUCAUUUUUUUAAAAGAACAGAGGACAUAUUACAUUUUGAAAAACUUUAGGGGGUACAUGACCAAGAGUCUAAAGAUGACAACUAUUAGGAGUUCCCGUCAUGGCGCAGCAAAAACGAAUCUGACUAGGAACCAUGAGGUUGCAGGUCCAAUCCCUGGCCUCGAUCAAUGGGUUAACAAUCCGGCAUUGCCAUUAGCUGUGGUGUAGGUUACAGACGCAGCUCGGAUCUGGCGUUGCUGUAGCUCUGGCAUAGGAAGGCAGCAAUAGCUCCAGUUGGACCCCUGGCUUGGGAAUCUCCAUAUGCCGCAGGUGUGGCCCUAAAAAAGGAUUAAAAAUAAAGAUGACAACUAUUACAGAACAGAAGUCCCCUAACCUUUUCAGUGGGAGCAUCCCUUAAACAUUUUUAAGUUUGUAAGGCAGAAGUAGUUUUACUUUCUUUAUCUAUUAACCAAGAAAAAUUAAGUAACAAAAAAAUAGUGUCGCUUGUCAAUAACACUCAUAAAUUAUAAAUUAUUAAAUGAAUUUUAUUAUUCAUUAAAAUAGCAAUGCAUGCAUCUAAAUAUUCUAACCCAUAUAGAUUUGAAGUGUAAUAUCCACUAACCUAGAGAGAAGGUUUAGGGCACCCAAGGAUUCACAGAAGUUCUAUACUAACACCAGAGCCCCUAGUCUCAGAACCACACUCCCCUGGUUGGGGUCCUCUGGCUUUGUAGAGUGGUCUCUCCUUGUGAGAGGGUAGGAAAAUACCCAUGAAGCCCAUUUCAAGGGGAAAUCUUUAGAAGGAGAAUAUAGGUUCAAAUGCUUUUUGCAGCCAAGCAGGUAGCUCAAAUGAGUGAUCCUGCCUAGGAGUAGAUUGGAACUGUAGCCAAUAGCAAGCUGUGUCUGGGUUAAAGGGACAAUUUCAGCUCUACCUGUUGACAUGGCUUGCAUUGCUGGAAGGUUUUCACUUUUCCAGAAAAGGUGGGUUUUUAUGUGAAAAUAUCUUUAAAAACUGUUUGGGCCAACCUACCCGCAAAUAUGAGCUGAAUUUAGCCCUUAGACCUCCAAUGUGCCAUCUCUGUUCAGUGCUACUCAAAGUGCAACCCAGAUCUAAGAACUGUUUGCUACAUUCCAAAUGAGAUGCAUAUAGCAACUGAUAAUGACAUUUAGAAACAUGUAUAGUAGUUUGACAGUAAUUUUGCGAAUAUAAUUUUCUGACUCUAGUAAUAAGAAAAUUGUGAUUGUAUUAUUGGAUUUUUGCAAUUUAUUUCUCUAAUUUUUUUAAACAUUAGUGAGCAAUGGGUUAGAAAUCUUGCCCACAGAUAUUUUAACCAUUGCUGUGGUCUUUUCAUCAAGGUAAAGGGUCUAUGUGAAGAUGCUGUCUUUUCUAAAUCAAAUUAGGGCUUGAUAAAUGAUGUUAAUCUCGGGAAUUUUCACAUUACUAUCUGAAAAGACACAGCCUGUAGUUAAAAUGCACCCAAUUCUAAACAGCUGACAGAUAUUUAGCAGUAAAGGCCUGGAAGCUGACCUCUUUUCCCUAGAGGAACUGGGAACUAUCAUGUCAUUCCUGCAAGACUGCUCCCAGGCCCAUUACGCCACCAAACUUCCUGAAGGGGCAUCUGUGAGAUGAGCAACCAGAUGCCAUAGGUCACACAGAGUUCCUCUCCCCGCCCCCCUGCCCCAGCACACAAGGACCAACCCAGCAAAGGCCCUCAGCUCUGAGCAGAGAGCAUGCUCUCCAGCUGUUGUUUCUGUAUCUGCCUCUGGGAACAUACCAAGCUUCUCUAGGACCAAGAAUCCUGCUUCUUGGUCUCCCCAGCUUAGUUCCAUUGCACUAAAUUUUCUCCUCUCCCUGGCCAGCAUAGGCUCCUUGCUCAUCAAAGGUGUCAGGCACCUAGUUCUGGAGCUUUAACAGCUGACAACCAGCUUCCUGUCCUGGAGCUUCUGCCCAAGUGGUCCUGUGACCUUUGUUCUCCCUGCUUAGGUAGAAGCUCCAGGUUAGGAAGUUAGUGGCCAGCUAUCAAAGCUCAACAUCUAGAAUGAGAUGGUUGAUAUCCUUAUAUAGUAAAGACCGCUACAUGGGUCACAUACAAAGAAGAGGCUUGGGCACAGGCCAGAGGAACAACAGGCAAGAAAAGAGAAGUGCUUAGAUAUUUGAGAGCCUCCUCAUCUUAACUACCAAAGGAACAAACUCUCUGGUCUGCACAGUUUUCUCUAAGGAACUAAGGGAAAGCCCCUAAGUCAACAGUGCACUGGUUGGUGAUGCACCCCACCCUCCCAACCCCCUUUAGCAGCUUCUAGCUUCACAGAACAAAACCUACUGAACCACCUUGGAAGGAUGGUACACUGGACCUUGUCAGCUGCCUGCACCUCAGAAAUUUCCAGGGUAAAACUGGAGGUGGGGUAGGAGGGUUGUUGGGCAGGCUUGCAAAGGUGAUUUUAGAAGUGCAAACCUGGUGGGGAAUUUUUCCUCAGACCACCUGGAGGGAAGUGGUUACAACUGACUACAAAUUCUCCUGAAAUGAUCAAGUACAUAGAGGGAAGGUGUUACAUUGUUGAGAAACAUGGCUGCUUUGCUUUCUUCUGGGGAGCCCUAGAGACUUUUAUAUCAAUCCCUGAUCUCUCCCAGCCUUAGGUACAGAGGAUGAGAUCAGGCCAGUGAAGAAAGGCACUCCCCUUGCGAUCUUCCAGGUAGCCACCAGUUUCCCACUGAGUGUAUUUUUUGCAAUUUAAGAUAAUGGGAGAUUUUCAAUGAGAUCAGCCUUGUGUGUGUAAAAAAAAAACAUAUAGCCUGUUUGGCCAAACUUAAAAGGUACCAUGUUGUGGAAGUUACUGAGUUUUACAUAUUUUAACUGAAGGGGGGGUGUUUGUAUUAACAGAACAAAAGUGCAAUAAUCUAUACAAUCAGUUAUUUAAGCCAUUACAAGUACCAUUACAGCAGGAGAGAAGGAAGAAAAUAUCUAAAAUACAUAAAAUUACUUUAAAAACUCAUUCUAGAAAAGGAAAUGCCAGAGGAGGAAGAUAAGGAGUCUUAAUUAACAAAAAAAUUCAUCUAUUUCUCUCCUUCAAAACGAGACACUCUUCAAGGCAAUUUGCUUGGAGAGCAGUUUAGCACCAUAAAUCUGGGAUUUUUUUUAUGUGUGUGUUUGCUCCGCAAGAGGCUUAAGAAAAACACAGCAACCAAACCACCCAAGCCAGCCCUGGAGGGAAAAAGAAGACCUAAUCACCCGUGAUGGCGAUUACAUAAUAGAGACUCACACACAAACCCCAAGAGUCUCAAAAGAGUCAGCCUUUGGCUUCCUGUCAUAAAACAUGCCUUUUUUUCCUUUGGGAGGAUCACUAAAAAUGCUUCUUAAAGACCAAGUGGAUGUCUUUGGUAGAAAUAGAGGUCACUUAGUAAUGAUUUAUAGGUGCACCCCCAGCCAAAAUAAAGCAUGUAUUGAUAUCUAAAGUGCAUCUGCAUUUAGUGCAGCAAAAGCACAUACUCUGUUUCUAAUCGGUGCCCUGAAGAUGCUCCCCCAGGAGGAAAAGGCCUGGCUUGGAGAGCCGCCCCUCCCGAGGCCCACAUCCCGGGCCCUUCCUUAGGCAGCCAGAGUGCUCCUCUCUUAGAUAAUGCCAGGUACUCUGGAAAGUAGCCUUGUAAUAAUACACAAACCCCUGAUGAUGUCAGCGUGUUAUUGACUUUCCAAGUCUGAAUGACUGAGCAGAGAAGCGGGGGUGGGGCGCGAUCCAUCCGGCAGCGCGGGGACCGGCCAAGCGAAAAUGAGCUCGCGGGCUGGACUGGGGGAGGGGCGGCAGCGGCUCAGCGCUCAGGCUCUCUGGCUCCGCAGCGGCGUCGGGGUCUCUGCAGCCCAGCCCCAUCGUGGCUCCCAACUCUAGUUCCUUCACUAUUUAUGUUUGGUCAAACACCCCUCUGGCAAAAAUUACUCAGGCCGCAAUCCCCUGCCCCUACCCCAAGCUUUAGUCACGUGGCCGAGCCUGAUUACCAAGCGAGGAGCAGAGGGCGAGAAAGAAGAUUCCUGCCCCCUCCCCCACUCUGUACUGGAGCCUUCCUCCCCCGCCGCGGUGAAUUCGCAGAUUCGAGGGUCGCCAGCUGCGGAGUAUUUCCCUCUACCGGAUACCCCCUUGGAAACUGCACCUCAGCGAUGGUGACAUUUUAUAGGACAUGUCUGGCUUCCUUUAUGGCGCUGGAAUUGCAGGUGUAGGGUGGUAGGUUCCCGCUUUCACCCUGCAAAUUGACCAAAGGGCGGUCUGUAAUCUUUAAGGCUAGGUGUGAAUCGGGCAAGGUUGCCCUUAAAUGGAAUUGCGUUCAGAGGCUGAGAUCUGGAGAGGAGCACUCCCAGCUGGGGCGUGGCCUUCCCCACUGGGCCUAGGCCUUCUUUUCUGGCCCCGCAGCUUCUGCCUGCUCUCCUUCCCCCGCAUCCCCUCGCCCACCUGCCUUAGCAGGCGCAACUCUGGGACUAGGCACCCAGACCUCUACCCGCUGGCGCAGCUCCCUUCCUCCCUCUCCUAGACCUGUUGAAACCUUCCUAGACAGCCCAGGGACGGCGCAGAAUUUCAGCCUUAAAUCCCAGGGACGGACUGAUCCUCCUCGGAACUCCUGCCACCCUCUCCUCCGCCCCCUACACACAAACCCAAGGAGUUCUUUGUGGGAGCCCCCUGCGGGGCACACCGCACACUGGCUGUGCGCUGCCUGAUUCCCAGUCCUGUUCUGACCCUUAUUAGCUGUUUAAGUAUGGACA